AUUUGUCUGGUUAAUUCCGAUAACGAACGAGACCUUAACCUGCUAACUAGAUUCUAUCAUCUUAUGAUUGAUAUCUUCUUAGAGGGACUAUGUAAAACAAAUACAUGGAAGUUUGAGGCAAUAACAGGUCAGUGAUGCCCUUACAUGUCCUGGGCUGCACGCGUGCUACACUGAUGUAUACAACAAAUGCCUAACCAGACAUGGUAUGGCAAUCUCGAAUAUGCAUCGUGAUAGGGAUAGAUCUUUGCAAUUAUAGAUCUUGAACGAGGAAUUCCUAGUAAGUGCAAGUCAUCAUCUUGCAUUGACUAUGUCCCUGCCCUUUGUACACACCGCCCGUCGCUCCUACCGAUACCGGGUGAUCCGGUGAACCUUUUGGACCUGUAAGGGGAAGAUAAGUAAACCAUAUCACCUAGAGGAAGGAGAAGUCGUAACAAGGUUUCCGUAGGUGAACCUGCRGAAGGAUCA
This 465-nucleotide ribosomal RNA is filed under the name uncultured ciliate. RNAcentral's name for it is "SSU rRNA". It matches the Rfam family "Eukaryotic small subunit ribosomal RNA". The record is from RNAcentral. Lineage: Eukaryota; Ciliophora.